Molecule: long non-coding RNA, 326 nt
Filed under: Anas platyrhynchos platyrhynchos (common mallard)
Lineage: Eukaryota; Metazoa; Chordata; Aves; Anseriformes; Anatidae
Description: lncRNA (ENSAPLG00000019707.1)
Source: RNAcentral
UCGUUGUUGUACAUCUCCUCCUCCGACCCCUGCCCCCCCCGGCAGUACAGGACCCCCACCUUGCGCUGGAAGCUCAGCUGCGGGCACGGCGACGGCUGGCACGGGGAGCCCCUCGUGCGAGCACGGCCCUUGUGCAAACAUCGCUCUUGUGCAAGCCCCGAAGUCGUGCAAGCUCUGUCCUCAUGCAAACCCCAGCCUGGUGCAAGCCAAGUCCUCGUGCAAACAUCGCUCUUGUGCAAGCCCCGAAGUCGUGCAAACACUGCCCUUGUGCAAGCUCUGCCCUCGUGCAAGCCCCAGCCUGGUGCAAGCGCUGCCCUUGUGCAAGC